UGCACCUGCAGAACCAGGCAGACCCGGUCUCCAGGGCACUUGUUGCCUCAAAAGGGAAGGGAGAAAAACAGGCUAAGGACAGAAUGUCUCCUGCAGCCUUCACUGGAGUGAUUAUCAUUAAAAACUCUGCCUCCCCAAACUGUCCCACAACUACAGACACAGAAAGUAGGUGACUGGUAUCAAGGAGCCCGGCAACAAUGGUAAAAUUCCAGCCCCUGCCACAAGGAAGCUCUUGCAAAAUCUGAGCAGGGAGCAGUGGAAGGA
RNAcentral lists this long non-coding RNA (264 nucleotides) under Corvus moneduloides (New Caledonian crow). RNAcentral describes it as "lncRNA (ENSCMUG00000017071.1)". Lineage: Eukaryota; Metazoa; Chordata; Aves; Passeriformes; Corvidae. The record is from RNAcentral.